Non-coding RNA from Oryzias latipes (Japanese medaka), 2018 nucleotides. The record is from RefSeq and is a predicted model, not a curated record. NCBI's taxonomy places the organism in Eukaryota, Metazoa, Chordata, Actinopteri, Beloniformes, Adrianichthyidae.
UUGGUCCUUGUUUCUGCCCCCCCCAGCCCCAGCAGCCCCUGAACCAGCCUGUCCAUUGGUUCCCCCGCACUCGUCCACAGCGGGGAGCCCGCUCCUCACCGCCAGCGUUAGGAGUUCAGGGUUUGAGGGGCUGGCGUUGCCACGGCGACAGCAGCAAAAGAGGAUCCUGGCCACGGGUUGAACCAGAGUUUGGUACAGGCUGUGGCGGACGCUCUCACUGACGAAGCAGUAGAGGACCGGGUCGGCCACGCAGUUCAGGGAGGCGCAGUUUGUCUCCAGCAACGUGCGCACCAGCAGGAAGACGUGGUACGGAGAGAAACAGACGAGGAAGAUGAGGAUGGUGCUGCUGACCAACUGUCUGAUCCUGACCUUCUGAUCCGGCUGAGUUCCCACACUCUGGCCCACCGCGCGCAGCACGCACAGGACGUCCCGCUCAUCCACACCUGGCACAGACCUCUUUGACCUGGGCUACGUCUAAGCCGGCAUGACUCCAUUUCACUGUACGGAGCACCCCAAAGCAAUUUCAAACUCCAACCUUCAGUGCCAUGUCCACCUCACUAACAUGGUCAGCUUAUUACUUUAGUAUCCCACAAGAAAGCUAAAACUGCUCUAUCAUCCAGCCAUAAAGUUAUAAAGUCCUUUAAGUAAGACCGUUGAAGAACUGAAGGAAAACACAAAAAAGCAACUUAACCCUUGUGCUAUCUUAGAUGACCCCCCCUUCCAUUGAGGUGUUCUCCCUACCAUGACAAAGAUGUAUAAAGGUGGAAAGAUUUCAUGUAAUCCAUUUUGAGAUUUGACAGAAAGCAAACCUGCAUGUGUUGUUCAGACUGAGUAUUGAGAACCUCUUUUUGAGGACCUCUGGUCACAUUUCUGCACACCCCGCCUUCCUUUUCCUCAGCCCAUAAGCCUGUUUUUGUAAAUAAGCGCCUUAAUUUUGACUCUCGUGUGACUCAGCAACGGAAUUUUUCAAAGAAAAAUGGAGCUACUUUUUCUGCUGCAAAAAAGAGGCGGCGGUCACAAAAGUCUGCUCCAGUAAACUCUGAGUGCAUUCCUUUGCUCUGCAGCAGGAACUGUAAUAAUAUGGUCUAAAAGUAGUCAAAGCAGAGAAAGCAGCCUCUGUCUUCCAUCCUCUGUCAGAUAACUGCAGGAGGAGACACAGAAAACUAUUUACAAUCUAACACAAGAUGUGAGCAGUUGUUUGCCCAUCGAAACUUCACCUGACAAAGUUUUUCUGAGCUCGGAAAGAUUAUUGAGAAAAUGUAGAUUUCUGAGGACCGCUUAGACACAUCAAACUGCUAAUCCACUACAAGUUAUGAGACAGACAGACAGACAGACAGACAGACAGACAGACAGACAGACAGACAGAUGUUUCUUUGUGAACCAUUCCAUUGUAGAUUUUGCUUUAUGUUUUGGAUCAUUGUCUAGUUGGAAGACAAAUCUCCAUCAGAGUCUCAGGUCUUUGCAGACUCCAUCAGGAAUGGUCCUGUAUUUGGCUCCAUCCAUCUUCCCAUCUUAUCCAACCAUCCUCUCUGUCCCUGCUGAAGAAAAGCUGGCCCAAACCAUGAUGCUGCCACCACCAUGUUUGACAGUGGGGAUGGUGUGUUCGGGCCGAUGAGCUGUGUUGUUUAUGCCAAACAGAACAUUUUGCAUUGUUGCUAAAAAGUUUUCAUCUGACCAGAGCUCCUUCUUCCACAUGUUUGGUGUGUCUCGUGGCAAACUGUAAAUGACACUUUUUAUGGAUUUCUUUAAGAAAUGGCUUUCUUCUUGCCACUCUUCCCUAAAGGCCAGAUUUGUGCAGUAUAUGACUGAUUGCUGUCCUAUGGACAGACUCUCCACCUCAGCUGCAGAUCUCUGCAGUUCAUCCAGAGUGAUCAUGGGUCUCUUGGCGGCAUCUCUAAUCAGUCUUCUCCUAGUUUGAGCUGAAAGUUUAGCCCAGGGGUGUCAAACUCAUUUUCACUAAGGGCCACAUCAGCAUAGCGGCUGUCCUCAAAGGGCCGGAUUUAACUUUUACAUUCAAC